AGUGAACGCUGGCGGCGUGGAUUAGGCAUGCAAGUCGAACGAUCCCGCAAGGGAUAGUGGCAAAAGGGUGAGUAACACGUGAGUAAUCUACCUUCGAGUGGGGAAUAACACCGGGAAACCGGUGCUAAAACCGCAUAAGACCACGGAUCGGCAUCGAUCUGAGGACAAAAGUGGGGACCGCAAGGCCUACUGCUUGAAGAUGAACUCGCGUCCUAUCAGUUAGUUGGCGGGUAACGGCCCACCAAGACUUUGACGGGUAGCUGGUCUGAGAGGAUGGUCAGCCACAUUGGGACUGAGAUACUGCCCAGACUCCUACGGGAGGCAG
This 325-nucleotide ribosomal RNA is filed under the name uncultured Omnitrophica bacterium. RNAcentral's name for it is "bacterial SSU rRNA". It matches the Rfam family "Bacterial small subunit ribosomal RNA", at positions 29 to 351 of the family's 1533-position model. The record is from RNAcentral. Lineage: Bacteria; Pseudomonadati; Candidatus Omnitrophota.